RNAcentral lists this ribosomal RNA (226 nucleotides) under uncultured bacterium. Its description in RNAcentral is "partial 16S ribosomal RNA". It matches the Rfam family "Bacterial small subunit ribosomal RNA", at positions 127 to 354 of the family's 1533-position model. The record is from RNAcentral.
CGCCGUAUGCAGGGGACAACAGUCAGAAAUGACUGCUAAUACCGCAUAAGCACACAAUGCUGCAUGGCAUGGUGUGAAAAGAUUUAUCGGCAUACGAUGGCCCCGCGUCUGAUUAGCCAGUUGGCAGGGUAAUGGCCUACCAAAGCAACGAUCAGUAGCCGGCUUGAGAGAGUGACCGGCCACAUUGGGACUGAGACACGGCCCAGACUCCUACGGGAGGCAGCAG